This 301-nucleotide ribosomal RNA is filed under the name uncultured bacterium. RNAcentral describes it as "partial 16S ribosomal RNA". It matches the Rfam family "Bacterial small subunit ribosomal RNA", at positions 509 to 807 of the family's 1533-position model. The record is from RNAcentral.
CAGCCGCCACGGUAAUACAGAGGGUGCGAGCGUUAAUCGGAUUUACUGGGCGUAAAGCGUGCGUAGGCGGCUAAUUGAGUCGGAUGUGAAAUCCCCGUGCUUAACUUGGGAAUUGCAUUCGAUACUGGUUAGCUAGAGUGUGGGAGAGGAUGGUAGAAUUCCAGGUGUAGCGGUGAAAUGCGUAGAGAUCUGGAGGAAUACCGAUGGCGAAGGCAGCCAUCUGGCCUAACACUGACGCUGAGGUACGAAAGCAUGGGGAGCAAACAGGAUUAGAUACCCGCGUAGUCCCUGUCUCUUAUAC